AUCAUUGUGAAAUCACUUAUCAGCAUGCGAAAAAAAAAAAUAUAAGUACACAGAUUGUACCUACUCCCUUUCUUUUACAUACUAUUUUCUAAUAUACGUACGGAAUUACGGAUUAGUGGAAAUGCAGUCGUUGUCAUGGAGUUUUCGUUCACCGACAAAUAUUUUACCAAAUAAAGGAGUUUAUAGUGUCGUUUGAAUAAUCAUUCGAUUUAUUAGAAAAGAAAGCCACGUUGGAUAGGAUCCUCACAACACUGAGCCCUCUACAAUAUUCAGUCUUGAAAUUGACAGUGACUUGUCCAUCAAAUGUGAAUGCGUUCGCGUCGCCGGUAUCGAAAUAUGGUGUAAUCACAAUUUCAUAAGAUUCUGGUCUUAUUGGUGUGUUCAAUCUAUAAUUUG
Molecule: long non-coding RNA, 396 nt
Organism: Pectinophora gossypiella (pink bollworm)
Lineage: Eukaryota; Metazoa; Arthropoda; Insecta; Lepidoptera; Gelechiidae
Exons: 3
Source: RefSeq, a predicted model, not a curated record